This 474-nucleotide ribosomal RNA is filed under the name uncultured bacterium. RNAcentral describes it as "bacterial SSU rRNA". It matches the Rfam family "Bacterial small subunit ribosomal RNA", at positions 8 to 526 of the family's 1533-position model. The record is from RNAcentral.
AGAGUUUGAUCAUGGCUCAGGAUGAACGCUGGCGGUAUGCUUAACACAUGCAAGUCGAACGGAGUGCUUCGGCACUUAGUGGCGGACGGGUGAGUAACACGUGAGAAUCUGCCUUCAGGUCGGGGAUAACAGGGGGAAACUCCUGCUAAUACCGGAUGUGCCUUCGGGUGAAAGAUUUAUUGCCUGAAGAUGAGCUCGCGUCUGAUUAGCUAGUUGGUGGGGUAAGAGCCCACCAAGGCGACGAUCAGUAGCUGGUCUGAGAGGAUGAUCAGCCACACUGGGACUGAGACACGGCCCAGACUCCUACGGGAGGCAGCAGUGGGGAAUUUUCCGCAAUGGGCGAAAGCCUGACGGAGCAAUACCGCGUGGGGGAGGAAGGCCCUUGGGUCGUAAACCUCUUUUCUCAGGGAAGAAAUUUGACGGUACCUGAGGAAUAAGCAUCGGCUAACUCCGUGCCAGCAGCCGCGGUAAUUC